AUCUAGAAUUAAGACACUGAGUGGGAAGAGAGAUACAAAUAUGUCCAUAGAAAUAUGGAAGGUUUUAAGCCAGAAAAUCCUUAAAUGAAGUUUAAUUGCCACUAGAAUUAUUUUCAAGUUAAGAAGAUAAGAGGAUUGACUUUUUAAACUUCAAAAUGAACUUCCCUGCUGUGACUGACUAUAUUCCCCAGUAUGGAGAAUUAUGAGGAACCUGUUGAACAGAAAAGUCUCUGACCAUAAUCAAGGUCACACAGUCAGAAGGCAUCCCAGCAGACACUCCACACUAGCCAAUGUGGAUUCAGAGACUGCACCCUUGAUUACUGUGUUGUUUGAUGAUACUAGUGCACCUUCAUGAAUCAGAACUUUCCAUAUAUGGAGGUUAUUCAGCAUGUCCUUUGUGAGUAAUGGUUACAGGUAUAAGGUGCAUACAGGUAGAUGUGAAGAAGGCAGUGGAGGAUAACAGGAAAAUGGAAGAGAAUGAGGAAAUGUAUGGUCCUGUGGAAGAAACACUGGAAUUAAGUUUAAAAACAUCUGAGGAAGAUAGAAAACAUUUUAUCUUUCAAGAUAAAAAAAGAAAAGCUCUUUGCCAACAGAAAACAUAAUAUGCGGACUCUAUGGCUAUUGUUUCUGAAAAAUAUAAGAGAUGAUUACAUCACAUUGUGUAUUCUGUAGGAAAAACACUGUAAUGCUUAUAUGGCUAAUAAUGGAAUGAUCUAAGUCAAUAUAUUGUGCAGUUUUGAGUGACAGAAGAAUUACACCAUUAUUCUUUGUAUUUUGGUUUCUGCACUAAGUUAGUCAUGUUCACUGUUUCAUCAUCAAUUAUCAUUCACUCAUUUUAUAAAAUUUUAGCAUCUGCAUUUAAUGUUACUGUAUGGUUUCUGUUUACUACAGCUGGUUGCAAUAGACACAGAUGACAAUUUCAGAGCUGUGUAUAAAAGGUCACAAAAAGUAAACAUUCAAAACAGAAACAUCUUACUUCCAGAAAGUAUAAAAUUGACGUAUGAGUAAGAUGUCAAAAGUUAUGAAAACUGGAAUGUGUUCAUCUCAUUACAUGUAAAUGCAUCUAUUUGAAAAAUGUGUUUUUUAAAGUAGAUCAUUAGGUAACAUUAGUCUUAAAAAUCAUAAAUUCUCCAUCAUUAUGAUUGUUCUAUGUUACCAAUUACAUAUAAAUGUUAAAUUACAGAGAAAACAAAUAGAAAAUAAUCAUCACAUGUUUAAAAAUUUGCAAAAAUAUAAAAAGUUAUAAAAAAAUUCAGUUCAAGAAGUAGAACAAAGGGCAUAAAAAUAGUACUUACUGUAAAGACAAAACCACAUAAUUUAUAUAAUACAUAUUUUAUAGAAUUUUAGUUAUACUACACACACACAUGCACACACACACACACACACACACACACACACACUAAAUGCUAAAAUGUGGAAUAAAAAAUUUACAGUGGGAGGGCAGGCAGAACAAGGUGACAAGAUAGCUAUACCUCCAAAUCUAUAUCCUCCAUCACCAAGACUUAUCUUGAAGUGUUAAACCUAGAAGUGUAUCCAGUAACCAGCCUUCAGAAGAAUAUUUUUUCCAAAGUGCUGUUGAAUUAAAAUCAUAAACAGCUAAUGGAAUAGGAAUGAAAUAAUUAUUUUCUUUCAUUUGCUGGAGAAAAUACUGAGCUAUGAGCUUUUCUUUUCACUACUGGGGUUAAAAUUUUAAGCAUUCUAUUCUUAAAGGAGUGUCUUUUUUCUAAAGAUUUACGUUCAGCAGCUGAAUUUUAAAGCUCUGAGAACACAGCAGUUAUAUGUUAAGCCUAGUGCAAACCUGACCUAGAUUAUUUUCACUGGCUAAAAAUUAUGAAAAAUAUCAAUAAUUUUAUUGGCAAAAAGAUACAUAGAAUAAGUAGUAAUCUUAAGAACUGAACAAGGCAUCCAGACAUACUGAAAAAUAUGGGGCAAAGCAAUUAGAGAAAAAUUAGUCAUUUUCUUCUAGAUAGAUUAUAUAUUCUUUAACAGUAAGGUUUAUGACUAUUAUCUUUAUUUCCCCACCUGCUCUUCCAGGAAUAGCUGCAUAUAAUAGUUACUAAAUACAUAUUUUUAAAUUAUCAGGUUUCCUUUUAAUUCAUGUAACGUUUUAAUCUGUAAAUGUAAUCACAGAAAGUCACCUCAUUUUUAGCUUUACUGAUUGGAGAUGAGGAUUGAUAUUACGAUAAGAGUGAUAUAACAUAUGGUAGACCUAAGUGCAUGAAUUUUGUAUUCCCAGGUAUCAUUUAAAUUUCCUGUCAUUUUAUGUUGUUAUUUGUAAUAUCUUUGUGUUAACAUGCCUCAUGGUAAUUUAGGAGCAGUGACACAGUCUUACUAAAAAAAUGCUAGGGCUCUUGGCUUAAAAUGUUCACUUGCAUUUAAUAUUACAGAAAUUUACAUGUUGGGAUUAAGUGGCCUGAAAAUGUAAGAUAAAAUGGAAGUAAUGCAACCUACUGCAAUAAUAUUGUGCCAAUAUUCAGGCAGGGCACAGAGGAAAAACACAACAGGUUUUGAAACCAGUCAAAUUAAUCACAGCCUAAGCUGGACAAGAGAGAGGGAACAAUUGCUAUUCAUCAGAUCAUGCUGUGAUGAUGAAGGAAACAGAUCUGAUAAUUUGAUUACUGGGCUAUAGAUACAGAAUUUUGGAAAUCUUUCUCAAGUAACUAACUUCUGGGAAUGUGUGCAAGUAUUUCUAUGGCUUGGAAGUAGGAGUUGAAUCGCUCUUAUAACUCGUAUGUUUUAAGGUGAGCAACCCAGACACAACAAAAACUGUUCAAAUAUGAGAUCAAGCAAUAAUUCAUGAUUCACAGACAACAAUCAGGGAAAGGGAGCUAAUAGUAUGAAACUGAUGAACAGAAUAUCAGAGUAGUAGCCCUUGAGGUAUUAUGAGCCAGAGAUCUAUACAUGCAAUUAUAGGCUUCCACUUUUCAUUUUAAUGUCAUGUUAACCCCUUAAAACCUUUUAUUUGUGUCCAAUAGAAUCAAUGUACCUAAUAGUCAUUCACCUCAUAGACUCUACCUCAGGGUGGUAAUUUGAGAGCCUGGAAUGCCAGCUGAGGGAAGACAUGGGAAGACAGCCAAGAUCAGCACUGCCUUUCUGUCAGCCCCUACUUGAUUUUCCUUGCAUCAGUGGUGCUAUCUAAAGGAAUUGCUAAAUGGACUGAUGGAUGUAUUUGUUAAUAAUGACUUUAUCUAUAUAAUGAAGUGAUGGUUGGUAUUCCUGGCCUCUGAGAAUUUUUGAAUCCAGAUUUUAUAAAAUAUAUAAGUCUUGCAUUACUCUGAGGCAGCAAGACAGUGUAUCUCUUUGAAAUGAAGGUGAACUUGACUAAAAUUUCAGGUCUAACAUUUUCUAGCUGUAUGACUUUGGACACCUCGGUUAUUCUCUUUUCCUCACUUUCUUCUUUUAUAAAAUGGAGAUGUUACAUGUCCAUUUAUAUGGUUCAUAUAGCAAACACUUCAUAUGGUUGCUGUAAAGAGAAAAUGAAAUCAUCUAUGUGAACUGCUUACUGGAAUACUGACAGGUAGAAGAUGCUUACUUGUUAAUAGCUAUUUCUAUGGCCACAAGAUGCUCUUAACUAUUUAAAAGCUUCAUCAUUUGAAAGUGAAUACUAUUAUUUAAACUUGAGAGCUAUCAAAUGCAUUUCAUAUUUUCUGUUUGAAAAAUAUGAUGUAAAAUAAAUUAAUACCAAGGAAAUAUUGGUAGUUCACAAAGUCAUUUGCAAUAGUCUCCCAAGACUGAAUACUUUGGGGCACCAAAUUAUGGAAGGCUAGAUAAGUGCUUCUGCAUUUUAAUAAGUGAAGCUGAUACUACAACUUUUUAAAGUAAUGAUGUAUUUUCAUGGCUCCUGUCUCUGUAAAAGCCAAGUGUUCAAAGAAAUGCAUUAAAAAAUUAAUGGAUAUACGAA
Molecule: long non-coding RNA, 3901 nt
Filed under: Homo sapiens (human)
Lineage: Eukaryota; Metazoa; Chordata; Mammalia; Primates; Hominidae
Description: uncharacterized LOC105377178, transcript variant 6 (LOC105377178)
Source: RNAcentral